AUUAUCAUUAUUUACUAAUUUUAUUAUUUUAAUUAUUAUUAUUACCUUUAUUAUUAUUUGAAGUGAUUCGGCCAACCGUGUCUACUUCCACGCCUUUAAGCUCACCGGACUUAGGGAUUUCACUAAGUGAGCCUCCAAGACUUCAACAACACUUACAAUUGACUUCCAAUGUGUCAAUAGACCUUUAUAACAAGAGAUUGUCUUCAAUCUCUUAACCUAAGUGUAUCUCAAUACUUACAAUCACUCAAGAAUGAAUAUUACAAGUGAAUUUUCUCUCACACAAUAUAGGUGUUUUACAAAAUGAAAGUUCAAUGUGUGAAUUAAUGAAAUUCUAACAAAUUUAAAGCUCAAUAAUGGUUAUAAACUCAGUAGUAAGCUCAAUGAUAACUGUUGGAUCUCUCUUUGUUUGAAUUUGAUUGAGUCAUUUUAUAGUUGGAGCUGAAAACUAGUUGUUGUUAACUUUCUGAGAAUAAUCGGAUCGCCGUUAAUUGCUAUCAAUUCAUAGUUUUGACUUGUCCAAGUGACUGUUAUGCUGAGAUUUUAAAUAGUCGGUUAACCAUUUGGAGUUAUCGGUUAGCCGUUUAUUUCCAGAAACCUGCAAAACAAAUGUGGCUAAUUGUUUAUGCUAAAUGAUUCACGAUUACAAACCAAUUCCUCUUUGGAAAUUAUUGUUGAGUGUUAGAAAAUGUAUAUUUAUAAGGAGAAAAUCGUCAUUUUAUAUUUCAAGUCUUACUAACACCCUUACUUUUAUGUAUUUAAGCUUCUUGUGAUUUAAUUACAUGUGUUUUAUUUUAAUUAAGUAUUUUAUGUAUUUUAAGGGCAUCAUGGUUAUUUCACAAUGAAUGAGAAAUCAGACGGCAAAACUGACAUCACUUUUGAACUCAGGACAGUCGAAAACCUUAGGAGGAGUAUAAAAGAAAAAAUAUCAUUGUUCACAUGUACGACACUAUUCACAUGUACGAUAUUGUCCAUAAUACUGUUCACGACACUAUUCAUACAUACGGAAUGAUGACAUGGCAUUGACCAAUGAUGUGGCAUUGACUGAUGAGGUGUCACGAUUCUAUUAGACAAAAUUUAUAUACAUUGUUGAUCGGUGACGUGCCAGCAUGUUAGUGGACCAAAAAUCGCGCGUACGGUAUAUGUAUAUACACUGGAUUAUUUUCAACCAAACCGCGUCACUGUUCAAGCCGGUUGAUUGUUCAAACCGCGUGAUCAAACCGUGUCACUGUUCAAACCGCGUGGUCAAACUACGUACUAUUGACUGAUGACAUGGCGCAAUCCUGAGCGUCCAAACUGUUUUUAAUCUGAUGGCCAUGAUUUGCUCAAUGUAUCUAUAAAAAGGGGGCCUCCGCCCUAAUUUGAUAUCGACGAAUCCAUUUUUGGGCUCCAUUUUCUGUAAUUCAUUCUCAAUCUUGUAUUUUCUAUGUAUUUUAACAUUUUCUGUAAUUCAUUCUCCAUCUUGUAUUUUCUAUGUAUUUUAAUAAAUUUCCAUUUUACACCGAAUUCAAUUAUGAGUAGCUAAUUUUUUUUCAAACUUAGGUUGAAAGUGAAGUUUCAACAUGUGCCAUGGGCUUUAUUUGAUAAAUUUAUUUUCUCUUCCCCUCUAAUUAUUGUGGAUGUUUUGACUUUUUAUCAACAAAUAAUAAUAACAUUGUGUAGAUACCGCCCUGGUUUCACCGGCUCCUUAGUACAAGGUUAUUAUUAUUUGGCACGAUAAGCCCUUAGCACCAUAUUGAUUAGAGUGUGGUUCAUGAGGUGUGGAUACCCCCCUCAUGAUUUAAUUAGCACUAAUAAUGAAUAUUUAGCCCAUGGUGCUUGUUGAUACGGAUCCAGAUACCCAAGUGCUUCAUUUCAAUAGAUUUCUCUUUAAUUUAUUCUUGCCAUUUUAAUUUAAAUUUUAGAAUAUUCCAAAUAAUUUUCACUACAAAUUCAAUCACCCAUUUAGAAAAAUUAAUUCUACACACAAUUAAAAUCCACCUCCUCGUGAGAUCGACACUCGUCACCAUUAGUCUAUUCUACAAUAGAUUCGUCCACUUGCGAGUUUAAUAAAAUUUGCACAACAAUUAUCGAUUAGCCGUUUUAAGUAAACGGUUCACUGUUAUUUUUCAGAAUCAACAUUAACACAACUCUUUGUAGAAAACGAUUUUCCGAUUUAAAAAUUAACAGUCAUCUGCUUAUUACCAUAUUCUUAAACUUGUCUAAAAUAUUAUACGGCUUUAAGAGUUUGUUUAAUAUUAAUAGCU
This 2243-nucleotide long non-coding RNA is filed under the name Citrus x clementina. RNAcentral describes it as "Citrus clementina (C. clementina) long non-coding RNA (CCLE_LNC000382)". Lineage: Eukaryota; Viridiplantae; Streptophyta; Magnoliopsida; Sapindales; Rutaceae. The record is from RNAcentral.